RNAcentral lists this ribosomal RNA (253 nucleotides) under uncultured bacterium. RNAcentral describes it as "partial 16S ribosomal RNA". It matches the Rfam family "Bacterial small subunit ribosomal RNA", at positions 524 to 776 of the family's 1533-position model. The record is from RNAcentral.
UACGAAGGGGGCUAGCGUUGCUCGGAAUUACUGGGCGUAAAGCGCACGUAGGCGGCUUUCUAAGUCGGGGGUGAAAUCCUGGAGCUCAACUCCAGAACUGCCUCCGAUACUGGAGAGCUCGAGUCCGGGAGAGGUGAGUGGAAUUCCCAGUGUAGCGGUGAAAUGCGUAGAUAUUGGGAGGAACACCAGUGGCGAAGGCGGCUCACUGGACCGGUACUGACGCUGAUGCGCGAAAGCGUGGGGAGCAAACGGG